GCCGGAGUGGCGGAAUUGGCAGACGCGCUGUCUUGAGGGGGCAGUGCCCGAAAGGGCGUGCGGGUUCGACUCCCGCCUCCGGCACCA
This 87-nucleotide transfer RNA is filed under the name Thermocrinis ruber. RNAcentral describes it as "tRNA-Leu (GAG) (tRNA-Leu-GAG-1-1)". It matches the Rfam family "tRNA". From Rfam's summary of the family: Transfer RNA (tRNA) molecules are approximately 80 nucleotides in length. Their secondary structure includes four short double-helical elements and three loops (D, anti-codon, and T loops). Further hydrogen bonds mediate the characteristic L-shaped molecular structure. tRNAs have two regions of fundamental functional importance: the anti-codon, which is responsible for specific mRNA codon recognition, and the 3' end, to which the tRNAs corresponding amino acid is attached (by aminoacyl-tRNA synthetases). tRNAs cope with the degeneracy of the genetic code in two manners: having more than one tRNA (with a specific anti-codon) for a particular amino acid; and 'wobble' base-pairing, i.e. permitting non-standard base-pairing at the 3rd anti-codon position. RNAcentral also lists the same sequence under 2 other names. The record is from RNAcentral. Lineage: Bacteria; Pseudomonadati; Aquificota; Aquificia; Aquificales; Aquificaceae.